AGGAUGAACGAUGGCGGCGUGCUUAACACAUGCAAGUCGAACGAUGAAGGCUGGAGCUUGCUCUGGCUGGAUUAGUGGCGAACGGGUGAGUAACACGUGAGUAACCUGCCCCAGACUCUGGGAUAAGCGCUGGAAACGGCGUCUAAUACCGGAUACGAGCUUCCACCGCAUGGUGAGGAGCUGGAAAGUAAUUUCGGUCUGGAUGGACUCGCGGCCUAUCAGCUUGUUGGUGAGGUAUGGCUGACCAAGGCGACGUACGGGUAGCCGGACCGUGAGGACGGGGUGACCGGUCCACGACGUGGGACUAGAG
RNAcentral lists this ribosomal RNA (310 nucleotides) under uncultured soil bacterium. Its description in RNAcentral is "bacterial SSU rRNA". It matches the Rfam family "Bacterial small subunit ribosomal RNA", at positions 26 to 323 of the family's 1533-position model. The record is from RNAcentral.